UAGUACGGCGAGUGAGAGGGAAGAGCCCAAGAUUGAAAGCUGGCGUCUUCGGCGUCCGCAUUGUAAUCUCAAGAAGUGUUUUCCGCUUCGGACCAUGCCUAAGUCCCUUGGAAAAGGGCAUCAUAGAGGGUGAUAAUCCCGUACAUGGCAUGGAGCGCCCGAAGCUUUGUGAUACGCUUUCUACGAGUCGAGUUGUUUGGGAAUGCAGCUCAAAAUGGGUGGUAAAUGCCAUCUAAGGCUAAAUAUUGGGGAGAGACCGAUAGCGAACAAGUACAGUGAUGGAAAGAUGAAAAGAACUUUGAAAAGAGAGUUAAACAGUACGUGAAAUUGCCAAAAGGGAAGGGUAGGAGGUCAGAGAUGCGUCUUGGGAUUCAGCCUUGCUUUUGCAUGGUGUUUUUCCCAAGUUGCAGGCCAACGUCGGUUUUGGGCACUGGAGAAGGGUAGGAGGAACGUGGCACCUCUCGGGGUGUGUUAUAGCCUCCUACUGGAUACAGCGACCGAGACCGAGGAACGCAGCGUACUCGUAAGAGCGGGCCUUUUGGCACCUUUACGCUUAGGGCGUUGGCAUAAUGGCCCUCUACCACCCGUCUUGAAACACGGACCA
This 604-nucleotide ribosomal RNA is filed under the name uncultured Pseudozyma. RNAcentral describes it as "LSU rRNA". It matches the Rfam family "Eukaryotic large subunit ribosomal RNA", at positions 81 to 668 of the family's 3401-position model. The record is from RNAcentral. Lineage: Eukaryota; Fungi; Basidiomycota; Ustilaginomycetes; Ustilaginales; Ustilaginaceae.